GCGAUGAAGGGCGUGCUAAUCUGCGAUAAGCGCCGGUAAGGUGAUAUGAACCGUUAUAACCGGCGAUACCCGAAUGGGGAAACCCAGUGUGAUUCGUCACACUAUCAUUAACUGAAUCCAUAGGUUAAUGAGGCGAACCGGGGGAACUGAAACAUCUAAGUACCCCGAGGAAAAGAAAUCAACCGAGAUUCCCCCAGUAGCGGCGAGCGAACGGGGAGGAGCCCAGAGCCUGAAUCAGCAUGUGUGUUAGUGGAAGCGUCUGGAAAGGCGCGCGAUACAGGGUGACAGCCCCGUACACAAAAGCGCAUGUGCUGUGAGCUCGAUGAGUAGGGCGGGACACGUGGUAUCCUGUCUGAAUAUGGGGGGACCAUCCUCCAAGGCUAAAUACUCCUGACUGACCGAUAGUGAACCAGUACCGUGAGGGAAAGGCGAAAAGAACCCCGGCGAGGGGAGUGAAAAAGAACCUGAAACCGUGUACGUACAAGCAGUGGGAGNNNNNNNNNNNNNNNNNNNNNNNNNNNNNNNNNNNNNNNNGGCGUUAAGUUGCAGGGUAUAGACCCGAAACCCGGUGAUCUAGCCAUGGGCAGGUUGAAGGUUGGGUAACACUAACUGGAGGACCGAACCGACUAAUGUUGAAAAAUUAGCGGAUGACCUGUGGCUGGGGGUGAAAGGCCAAUCAAACCGGGAGAUAGCUGGUUCUCCCCGAAAGCUAUUUAGGUAGCGCCUCGUGAAUUCAUCUCCGGGGGUAGAGCACUGUUUCGGCUAGGGGGCCAUCCCGGCUUACCAACCCGAUGCAAACUGCGAAUACCGGAGAAUGUUAUCACGGGAGACACACGGCGGGUGCUAACGUCCGUCGUGAAGAGGGAAACAACCCAGACCGCCAGCUAAGGUCCCAAAGUCAUGGUUAAGUGGGAAACGAUGUGGGAAGGCCCAGACAGCCAGGAUGUUGGCUUAGAAGCAGCCAUCAUUUAAAGAAAGCGUAAUAGCUCACUGGUCGAGUCGGCCUGCGCGGAAGAUGUAACGGGGCUAAACCAUGCACCGAAGCUGCGGCAGCGANNNNNNNNNNNNNNNNNUGCUGGAGGUAUCAGAAGUGCGAAUGCUGACAUAAGUAACGAUAAAGCGGGUGAAAAGCCCGCUCGCCGGAAGACCAAGGGUUCCUGUCCAACGUUAAUCGGGGCAGGGUGAGUCGACCCCUAAGGCGAGGCCGAAAGGCGUAGUCGAUGGGAAACGGGUUAAUAUUCCCGUACUUGGUGUUACUGCGAAGGGGGGACGGAGAAGGCUAUGUUGGCCGGGCGACGGUUGUCCCGGUUUAAGCGUGUAGGUGUGUGUUCCAGGUAAAUCCGGUUCACUUUAACACUGAGGCGUGACGACGAGGCACUACGGUGCUGAAGCAACAAAUGCCCUGCUUCCAGGAAAAGCCUCUAAGCAUCAGGUAACACGAAAUCGUACCCCAAACCGACACAGGUGGUCAGGUAGAGAAUACCAAGGCGCUUGAGAGAACUCGGGUGAAGGAACUAGGCAAAAUGGUGCCGUAACUUCGGGAGAAGGCACGCUGACACGUAGGUGAAGUGAUUUACUCAUGGAGCUGAAGUCAGUCGAAGAUACCAGCUGGCUGCAACUGUUUAUUAAAAACACAGCACUGUGCAAACACGAAAGUGGACGUAUACGGUGUGACGCCUGCCCGGUGCCGGAAGGUUAAUUGAUGGGGUCAGCGCAAGCGAAGCUCCUGAUCGAAGCCCCGGUAAACGGCGGCCGUAACUAUAACGGUCCUAAGGUAGCGAAAUUCCUUGUCGGGUAAGUUCCGACCUGCACGAAUGGCGUAAUGAUGGCCAGGCUGUCUCCACCCGAGACUCAGUGAAAUUGAACUCGCUGUGAAGAUGCAGUGUACCCGCGGCAAGACGGAAAGACCCCGUGAACCUUUACUAUAGCUUGACACUGAACAUUGAGCCUUGAUGUGUAGGAUAGGUGGGAGGCUUUGAAGUGUGGACGCCAGUCUGCAUGGAGCCGACCUUGAAAUACCACCCUUUAAUGUUUGAUGUUCUAACGUGGACCCGUAAUCCGGGUUGCGGACAGUGUCUGGUGGGUAGUUUGACUGGGGCGGUCUCCUCCUAAAGAGUAACGGAGGAGCACGAAGGUUGGCUAAUCCUGGUCGGACAUCAGGAGGUUAGUGCAAUGGCAUAAGCCAGCUUGACUGCGAGCGUGACGGCGCGAGCAGGUGCGAAAGCAGGUCAUAGUGAUCCGGUGGUUCUGAAUGGAAGGGCCAUCGCUCAACGGAUAAAAGGUACUCCGGGGAUAACAGGCUGAUACCGCCCAAGAGUUCAUAUCGACGGCGGUGUUUGGCACCUCGAUGUCGGCUCAUCACAUCCUGGGGCUGAAGUAGGUCCCAAGGGUAUGGCUGUUCGCCAUUUAAAGUGGUACGCGAGCUGGGUUUAGAACGUCGUGAGACAGUUCGGUCCCUAUCUGCCGUGGGCGCUGGAGAACUGAGGGGGGCUGCUCCUAGUACGAGAGGACCGGAGUGGACGCAUCACUGGUGUUCGGGUUGUCAUGCCAAUGGCACUGCCCGGUAGCUAAAUGCGGAAGAGAUAAGUGCUGAAAGCAUCUAAGCACGAAACUUGCCCCGAGAUGAGUUCUCCCUGAGACUUAGAGUCUCCUGAAGGAACGUUGAAGACGACGACGUUGAUAGGCCGGGUGUGUAAGCGCAGCGAUGCGUUGAGCUAACCGGUACUAAUGAACCGUGAGGCUUAACCUUACAACGCCGAAG
RNAcentral lists this ribosomal RNA (2761 nucleotides) under Salmonella enterica subsp. enterica serovar Typhimurium. Its description in RNAcentral is "partial 23S ribosomal RNA". It matches the Rfam family "Bacterial large subunit ribosomal RNA". Lineage: Bacteria; Pseudomonadati; Pseudomonadota; Gammaproteobacteria; Enterobacterales; Enterobacteriaceae. The record is from RNAcentral.